RNAcentral lists this ribosomal RNA (497 nucleotides) under uncultured bacterium. RNAcentral describes it as "partial 16S ribosomal RNA". It matches the Rfam family "Bacterial small subunit ribosomal RNA", at positions 28 to 507 of the family's 1533-position model. The record is from RNAcentral.
GAUGAACGCUGGCGGCGUGCCUAAUACAUGCAAGUCGAGCGAACGGACGAGAAGCUUGCUUUUCUGAUGUUAGCGGCGGACGGGUGAGUAACACGUGGAUAACCUACCUAUAAGACUGGGAUAACUUCGGGAAACCGGAGCUAAUACCGGAUAAUAUUUUGAACAGCAUGGUUCAAAAGUGAAAGACGGUCUUGCUGUCACUUAUAGAUGGAUCCGCGCUGCAUUAGCUAGUUGGUAAGGUAACGGCUUACCAAGGCAACGAUGCAUAGCCGACCUGAGAGGGUGAUCGGCCACACUGGAACUGAGACGCGGUCCAGACUCCUACGGGAGGCAGCAGUGGGGAAUCUUCCGCAAUGGGCGAAAGCCUGACGGAGCAACGCCGCGUGGGUGAUGAAGGUCUUCGGAUCGUAAAACUCUGUUAUUAGGAAAGAACAUAUGUGUAAGUAACUGUGCACAUCUUGACGGUACCUAAUCAAAAAGCAACGGCUAACUCCGUG